CCCUUAGAUGUUCUGGGCCGCACGCGCGCUACAAUGGCAGACUCAGUGAGUUACCUCUGUCGAAAGGCACAGGGAAUCUUUACAGUAUCUGCCGUGAUGGGGAUAGACCCUUGUAAUUUUUGGUCUUCAACGAGGAAUUCCUAGUAAACGCAAGUCAUUAACUUGCAUUGAUUACGUCCCUGCCCUUUGUACACACCGCCCGUCGCACCUACCGAUUGAAUGGUCCGGUGAAGUCCUCGGACCCAGUUGAACCUCGAGUUGAACAGGGAAAGUUGACUAAAUCUUACCAUUUAGAGGAAGGUGAAGUCGUAACA
RNAcentral lists this ribosomal RNA (314 nucleotides) under uncultured eukaryote. Its description in RNAcentral is "partial 18S ribosomal RNA". It matches the Rfam family "Eukaryotic small subunit ribosomal RNA", at positions 1470 to 1796 of the family's 1831-position model. The record is from RNAcentral.